RNAcentral lists this ribosomal RNA (336 nucleotides) under uncultured bacterium. Its description in RNAcentral is "bacterial SSU rRNA". It matches the Rfam family "Bacterial small subunit ribosomal RNA", at positions 28 to 365 of the family's 1533-position model. The record is from RNAcentral.
GAUGAACGCUAGCGGAAGGCUUAAUACAUGCAAGUCGAGCGGUAGGUGGCUUCGGCCAUUGAGAGCGGCGCACGGGUGAGUAACGCGUACAUGACCUGCCUGUCAGAAGGGGGAUAGCCCUGGGAAACUGGGAUUAAAUACCCUAUGGUAAUUGAUAUUAUGAAUGAUAUCAAUUAAAGUUGAGGCGCUGACAGAUGGAUGUGCGUCUGAUUAGCUAGUUGGUAGGGUAACGGCCUACCAAGGCGACGAUCAGUAGGGGGCGUGAGAGCGUGGUCCCCCACACGGGUACUGAGACACGGACCCGACUCCUACGGGAGGCAGCGAGUAAGGAAUAUU